Long non-coding RNA from Saimiri boliviensis boliviensis (Bolivian squirrel monkey), 737 nucleotides. RefSeq lists it as uncharacterized. The record is from RefSeq and is a predicted model, not a curated record. Lineage: Eukaryota; Metazoa; Chordata; Mammalia; Primates; Cebidae.
CAGAAGUCAGUUUGGGCACCUUCAGGCCUUUGCUUCAGCCUGCUGUUUCCUAUUUGGUCUCUUCCCCGACCCUCUGGGAAGAACAGAAAAGAUAAGAGAGAGGAAGAAGGGCUCCUUCUGCAGCAGGUCAGGCCCCGACUCUCAUGGGCCCUCCCUCAUCCUCUUCUCCCUCUUUGCUUUUCCUGCAGAAAAUUCUAGGGAGCUCUAGAAGGGAUCUCCAGCAAAUGCCAGGGACUUGUCACCCUGCAAUUGUUGCUCCGUGCCUUUGCCUGUUUCUAUCCCUCACUUGACUGUGAGCUUCCUGGUCAUGUCGCGGGGCCCAUGCCUGCGACAGACAGACAUGUAUGCCCAGUGCCUGGCAAACGUCACAAGCACCUCUUCGGCAAAGCCCACCUCCCUCUCUCGCUUGAUUCCCCGGCCAUCCUUAUCAAAGACCUUCCAGGUGAACAGGCAGCCGUCCUCAGCCGUGGUCAGCAGGAAUUGAUCAUCAAAGAGGCAGAGGGUACCUCAUGGCACGAAUGGUUCCCACCGAUGUCCCCACAAACAUCAUGCGUCCGGAAUGCGAGAUGGCAAUGGCUGUGUAGAUGACGUCGAACGCUGGUAUCUCUCGAAGGAUCUGGGACACAGAUUCCAUUCAUACACAGCACCAUCUGUGCCACCAGAAAUCAGCUUGCUAUCAUCUGCAUUCCAGACAACUGAGCGAAUCUGCAGGAGAUAAAGAUACGCACUGAAGAGGG